GGCGGGGCCGCCGCGGGCCCCCCCCCCGCCCCCACCCGCCCCAGCCCCCCUCUCGCUCCGCCCGGCUUCGCGGGGAGCGGCGCCCCGUCGCCCCAGGAUGUUCAAGAAAUUUGAUGAAAAGGAGAACGUAUCAAACUGUAUCCAGUUGAAAACGUCGGUUAUUAAAGGCAUUAAAAACCAACUGAUAGAUCAGUUCCCGGGUAUUGAACCAUGGCUAAAUCAAAUUAUGCCAAAGAAAGAUCCUGUUAAGAUAGUACGAUGUCAUGAACAUAUAGAAAUUCUCACAGUAAAUGGUGAACUGCUGUUCUUCAGACAAAGGGAGGG
Pseudonaja textilis is the source of this 324-nucleotide non-coding RNA. The record is from RefSeq and is a predicted model, not a curated record. Lineage: Eukaryota; Metazoa; Chordata; Lepidosauria; Squamata; Elapidae.